UGCCCCUCUAACCACUAGGCUACCUGCCCCUCUAACCACUAGGCUACCUGCCCCUCUAACCACUAGGCUACCUGCCCCUCUAACCACUAGGCUACCUGCCCCUCUAACCACUAGGCUACCUGCUGCUCUAACCACUAGGCUACCACCCGCCCCAACGCUCUAACCACUAGGCUACCACCCGCCCCAACGCUCUAACCACUAGGCUACCUGCUGCUCUAACCACUAGGCUACCACCCGCCCCAACGCAUAGUCAGAACUACCCGUCUGAUUAUUCCACAUUUAGCUCUGAGUUAUACGGUAAGUAACUACAUGCUGUUCAUGAUCAGUAACAUCAGUUGAUCAUGUAGUUUCAGAUACCUGAGGGUGGCCUAUCCAUUUGGCAUGUAGCUAACUAAGCAAACCUUUCAUUUAGUUGGCUUCAUCAGAGAUGAGGCUUUUGGAAAGACCUUGACAUCAGCAAGUCCUCGUCCUGGUGAAGUGGUCAGUUGGACUUCUGUCAUCACCACUAUAGAUGGCAAGCUAAUCAAGUUCAAGUUUAUCCCCAGGAAGUUAGCUCGUUAACCAGCCCAUAUUGACCCGAUCUGUUAUUAGCUAGCUAGCCAAUUUGACGUGAUCCAUCAAUCAAUGAAGCCCAUCUAUAAUUUCUGUCAGCAGCAAUAGUGACUAAACACUUAAAAAAAACAAUGUUGAGAAGUGGAUAAUGUUAGCUAACUUUGCUAGGUAGGCCUACGUUGGUUGGAGAAAGAAGUACAGUAGGUCUAUUUACCUCUGUUUAGCCUGUAACAAGUUUAUACCGGUAGCUUGUAAAUAUUAUCAGCUAACUACAUUGGUAAAAUGAGCCCUUCUGCUGCUUGACAGGAAGAGCCCACAAAGGACAGGAAAUGAACCUAAACCACUCAUUCUUGUCGGGUAUAGUUUACUUUUAUAUCACUCAAAUAUCCAAUCAAUGGUGGCCAAUAUUGAGAGAGAUCGUCAGGCUACGUAUCUGAAAUGGCCAUGAACAGCAUGCAGUUACUGCUGUAUAACUGAUACAGCAGAAUGUGGAAAUAUCUGACAUUUGUAUUUCUAUGCUCUUCCAGAGGUGACGACACCAAACGCUCUGCACCUUAUUGUGACGUUUUACUGAUAACCUAUUCUAAACAUUCUAGCCAGUCCAAGGGUCGUUCCAUGAAAUGAGUGCCCUAUGAUUAUUUUAAGUAGAAAUAGUGUGCAAAUAUUGAAUUUUAAAAGCCUGUUAUAUUAAAUGAAAUGCCCUUUAAAACCCACUGGGCACAGACGUCCAUUCAAUGUCUAUUCCACAUUAGUAACCCAUACAUGACUUCUCUAUGGAAAGGGGAGACCCUGAAGGUAACCCAUACAUGACUUCUCUAUGGAAAGGGGAGACCCUGAAGGUAACCCAUACAUGACUUCUCUAUGGAAAGGGGAGACCCUGAAGGUAACCCAUACAUGACUUCUCUAUGGAAAGGGGAGACCC
Molecule: long non-coding RNA, 1474 nt
Filed under: Salmo salar (Atlantic salmon)
Lineage: Eukaryota; Metazoa; Chordata; Actinopteri; Salmoniformes; Salmonidae
Description: lncRNA (ENSSSAG00000102895.1)
Source: RNAcentral